CUUAAAUUGAAGAGUUUGAUCAUGGCUCAGAUUGAACGCUGGCGGCAGGCCUAACACAUGCAAGUCGAGCGGCAGCGGGAAGUAGUUUACUACUUUGCCGGCGAGCGGCGGACGGGUGAGUAAUGUCUGGGGAUCUGCCUGAUGGAGGGGGAUAACUACUGGAAACGGUGGCUAAUACCGCAUGACCUCGCAAGAGCAAAGUGGGGGACCUUAGGGCCUCACGCCAUCGGAUGAACCCAGAUGGGAUUAGCUAGUAGGUGGGGUAAUGGCUCACCUAGGCGACGAUCCCUAGCUGGU
RNAcentral lists this ribosomal RNA (297 nucleotides) under Yersinia pseudotuberculosis. RNAcentral's name for it is "partial 16S ribosomal RNA". It matches the Rfam family "Bacterial small subunit ribosomal RNA", at positions 1 to 291 of the family's 1533-position model. The record is from RNAcentral. Lineage: Bacteria; Pseudomonadati; Pseudomonadota; Gammaproteobacteria; Enterobacterales; Yersiniaceae.